UCUUGUUCUUUCUUGAUUAUUACAUUCUUUUUAUUUAUUUUCUUGGGAAGGUUUCUUUGUCAAUUUGCGUUGUAUUUUCCCUUCUUGAUUUUCUUUCAUGUGAAAGAUGGGUAUGAAAUUAUCAUCGGUUCGCUGUGUACUAUUUAAGCCUACUGAUUCUUGAUUGAAAAGUAGUUUUUUGAUUUAUAUGUUUGGGAACGACAAUUUUGGGUGUUUCUGUUGAAUUCACUAGCUUCUUUAAGAAGCGGAGAAUAAAGUGUAAAGCAUCAGUCCAAUGGGUAAUUCUUUUACGGUUCAAUGUUCUUGAUUAUUACAUUCUUUUUUAUUUUUUGUCUUUGAAUUUUGAGUUCUUGAAUACUCUCUUUGUUGGGAAUUUCUUGAUUAUUCGAGUACUUUGAACUUUCGGGAGAAAGGUUUCUUUGUCAACCUGUUUGUACGUAUUUAGAUUUUCCCUUCUUGAUUUUCUUUUAAUUGUUUGAUGUGAAAGAUGGGUAUGCAAUUAUCACUGCUUCCUGCGGUGUACUAUUUCAGUGUACUGGUUCUUGAAAUAUUCAACCAAUAGCCUACUAGUUCUUGAUUGAAAAGUAGUUUCUUGAUUUAUAAGUUUGGAAACCAUUGACAAUUUUGGGUAUUUUUGUUGACUUCGCUAGCUUCUUUGGAUAAUCAUGCCUUGAGAAGUUGUGGAUAAAGGCCAUUGGUCAUUCUGUUUAAAGGCAUGCUGAUGAAUUUGAUGGAGUAAUGAUUAAGACAGCUAAUGUAAUAUGGAAA
Long non-coding RNA from Solanum pennellii, 768 nucleotides. RefSeq lists it as uncharacterized. The transcript is spliced from 2 exons. The record is from RefSeq and is a predicted model, not a curated record. Lineage: Eukaryota; Viridiplantae; Streptophyta; Magnoliopsida; Solanales; Solanaceae.